RNAcentral lists this ribosomal RNA (301 nucleotides) under uncultured bacterium. Its description in RNAcentral is "partial 16S ribosomal RNA". It matches the Rfam family "Bacterial small subunit ribosomal RNA", at positions 509 to 809 of the family's 1533-position model. The record is from RNAcentral.
CAGUCGCCGCGGGAAUACGUAGGUGGCAAGCGUUGUCCGGAAUUAUUGGGCGUAAAGGGCUCGCAGGCGGUUUCUUAAGUCUGAUGUGAAAGCCCCCGGCUCAACCGGGGAGGGUCAUUGGAAACUGGGAAACUUGAGUGCAGAAGAGGAGAGUGGAAUUCCACGUGUAGCGGUGAAAUGCGUAGAGAUCGGAAAGAACACCAAUGGCGAAAGCACCCUGCUGGGCCGACACUGACACUGAGAGACGAAAGCUAGGGGAGCAAAUGGGAUUAGAGACCCCAGUAGUCCCUGUCUCUUAUAA